GAUGAACGCUGGCGGCGUGCCUAAUACAUGCAAGUCGAGCGAACAGACGAGGAGCUUGCUCCUCUGACGUUAGCGGCGGACGGGUGAGUAACACGUGGAUAACCUACCUAUAAGACUGGGAUAACUUCGGGAAACCGGAGCUAAUACCGGAUAACAUGUUGAACCGCAUGGUUCAACAGUGAAAGACGGUCUUGCUGUCACUUAUAGAUGGAUCCGCGCCGCAUUAGCUAGUUGGUAAGGUAACGGCUUACCAAGGCAACGAUGCGUAGCCGACCUGAGAGGGGGAUCGGCAACACUGGAACUGAGACACGGUCCAGACUCCUACGGGAGGCAGCAGUAGGGAAUCUGCCGCAAUGGGCGAAAGCCUGACGGAGCAACGCCGCGUGAGUGAUGAAGGUCUUCGGAUCGUAAAACUCUGUUAUUAGGGAAGAACAAAUGUGUAAGUAACGAUGCACGUCUUGACGGUACCUAAGCAGAAAGCCACGGCUAACUACGU
Molecule: ribosomal RNA, 496 nt
Filed under: uncultured bacterium
Lineage: Bacteria
Description: partial 16S ribosomal RNA
Rfam family: Bacterial small subunit ribosomal RNA
Source: RNAcentral